RNAcentral lists this ribosomal RNA (585 nucleotides) under uncultured bacterium. Its description in RNAcentral is "partial 16S ribosomal RNA". It matches the Rfam family "Bacterial small subunit ribosomal RNA", at positions 355 to 1375 of the family's 1533-position model. The record is from RNAcentral.
UGGGGAAUUUUGGACAAUGGGCGAAAGCCUGAUCCAGCAAUGCCGCGUGUGUGAAGAAGGCCUUCGGGUUGUAAAGCACUUUUGUCCGGAAAGAAAUCCUUGGCUCUAAUACAGUCGGGGGAUGACGGUACCGGAAGAAUAAGCACCGGCUAACUACGUGCCAGCAGCCGCGGUAAUACGUAGGGUGCAAGCGUUAAUCGGAAUUACUGGGCGUAAAGCGUGCGCAGGCGGUUUGCUAAGACCGAUGUGAAAUCCCCGGGCUCAACCUGGGAACUGCAUUAGUGACUGGCAGGCUAGAGUAUGGCAGAGGGGGGUAGAAUUCCACGUGUAGCAGUGAAAUGCGUAGAGAUGUGGAGGAAUACCGAUGGCGAAGGCAGCCCCCUGGGCCAAUACUGACGCUCAUGCACGAAAGCGUGGGGAGCAAACAGGAUUAGAUACCCUGGUAGUCCACGCCCUAAACGAUGUCAACUAAUUGUUGGGGAUUCAUUUCCUUAGUAACGUAGCUAACGCGUGAAGUUGACCGCCUGGGGAGUACGGUCGCAAGAUUAAAACUCAAAGGAAUUGACGGGGUCAUAGCUGUUUCCU